UACGUAGGGUGCGAGCGUUGUCCGGAAUUAUUGGGCGCAAAGCGCGUGUAGGCGGCUUGGCAAGUCGGGUGUGAAAGCCCUCAGCUCAACUGAGGAAGUGCGCCCGAAACUGCUUUGCUUGAGUGCUGGAGAGGGUCGCGGAAUUCCCCAAGUAGAGGUGAAAUUCGUAGAUAUGGGGAGGAACACCGGUGGCGAAGGCGGCGACCUGGACAGUAACUGACGCUGAGACGCGAAAGCGUGGGUAGCAAACAGG
RNAcentral lists this ribosomal RNA (253 nucleotides) under uncultured bacterium. RNAcentral describes it as "partial 16S ribosomal RNA". It matches the Rfam family "Bacterial small subunit ribosomal RNA", at positions 524 to 776 of the family's 1533-position model. The record is from RNAcentral.